GAUGAACGCUGGCGGCGUGCCUAACACAUGCAAGUCGAGCGGCAGCGAGGGGUGCUUGCACCCUGUCGGCGAGCGGCGGACGGCUGAGUAACGCGUGGGAACGUGCCCCAAAGUGAGGAAUAACUGCCCGAAAGGGUAGCUAAUACCGCAUAUUAUCUUCGGAUCAAAGGAUUUAUCCGCUUUGGGAGCGGCUCGCGUCGGAUUAGGUAGGUGGUGAGGUAAUGGCUCACCAAGCCGACGAUCCGUAGCUGGUCUGGGAGGAUGACCAGCCAGACUGGAACUGAGACACGGUCCAGACUCCUACGGGAGGCAGCAGUGAGGAAUCUUCCACAAUGGGCGAAAGCCUGAUGGAGCAACGCCGCGUGCAGGACGAAGGCCUUCGGGUUGUAAACUGCUUUUAUAAGUGAGGAAUAUGACGGUAACUUAUGAAUAAGGAUCGGCUAACUACGUG
RNAcentral lists this ribosomal RNA (451 nucleotides) under uncultured bacterium. RNAcentral describes it as "partial 16S ribosomal RNA". It matches the Rfam family "Bacterial small subunit ribosomal RNA", at positions 28 to 507 of the family's 1533-position model. The record is from RNAcentral.